AUCUCAAAAACAUUACAUCAUAAAGUCCUUAUGAGGUGAGAUAAGCUUUGCUGUUCCUCAAUCACAGCUGAAGAAUAGAAACUCGGAGAAUAUACGUGAAUUUUCUGAAGCCCCAGAACAAAUAACUGGGAGAGGUGGGAUAUUUGCCAGGCUGUGCCUGACAUGAAGGUAAGCAUCCUUUCAAUCAGAUUUCACCCUUCGCAAGGGUGAGCAUCUUUGAUUCCUGAAAGUGAUAAUAAAACUGUCCAAGCGCCAGUGGCACCCCAUUUACCUGCCCCUUCCUGUCUCCCACUAGGGUGCUGCAGAAUCCCAUGUUCCAUUGAUUUCAUCCUGCAGGGCCUCAGAACCCACCCUUCCAGGCUUCUAGUAAGGGUUGCUUCUCAUCUCCUUCAGAUAGAUUUGUUGAGAGCCAAGGUAACAAGUUUACAGAAUGAGCGGUGUCGUUGGUACUGGUGAGUUUGUUGAGAGCAUUUCAACAAAUGAAAUUCGAAGCAUGCAGGUGGGACAAGCAGACCCAUCUGAUUCCGCUCACCAUCUACCCAGCAAGCUGCAUCAUUUCCUUAAAAAGAAUCUGCAACCCCUGGGUGUAGCUCAGAUAAUGAUUGGCCUGAAAUGCUGCUUAUUUGGGAUCAUUGAGAUUUUUUUUUACUGGUUCAUUAAUGACAGGAGUCUUUUAUUCUGCUUUUAUAUUGGCUACCCAUUCUGGGCUGCAGCGUCGUUCAUCACAUCUGGAUCUUUGACCAUCUCAUGUACAAAAAAACAAACAAAAUUUCUGGUGAGUAUCAUUUUCCCUUUUGCUCAUUUCAUGAGUUAAUAAGAACAGUGGACCCUGACUCUCUCCACAAAGCCAAACCAACACAAAAUUUGAAUAUUCC
Molecule: long non-coding RNA, 875 nt
Filed under: Ursus maritimus (polar bear)
Lineage: Eukaryota; Metazoa; Chordata; Mammalia; Carnivora; Ursidae
Description: lncRNA (ENSUMAG00000013466.1)
Source: RNAcentral